AAUGAACAUGAUAUUAAGAUUGUGCAAGUACUUUCAUGUGAUAUGAAAUCCUUUCCAUGCAAUACAUUGUUGCUAACCAUGCAUAGUAUGAGAUCCCUACUUAUGAUAUUAUAUAUUAUGGACUCUACUCUUAAGAUCAAGUCAGUCAUGUGUGUCGGUUUCCUUCCAUCGAGUCCUGGGGGUACUUGUACCCAAAAAC
RNAcentral lists this long non-coding RNA (199 nucleotides) under Capsicum annuum. RNAcentral describes it as "long non-coding RNA (CANN_LNC019648)". Lineage: Eukaryota; Viridiplantae; Streptophyta; Magnoliopsida; Solanales; Solanaceae. The record is from RNAcentral.